GACGAACGCUGGCGGCGUGCCUAACACAUGCAAGUCGAGCGGAGGCAUCCGAGUAGUUUACUACAUGGGUGUUCUUAGCGGCGGACGGGUGAGUAACGCGUGAGCAACCUGUCCUUCACAGGGGGAUAACGCAGCGAAAGUUGUGCUAAUACCGCAUAAGACCACGGUACUGACAUGGUACUGAGGUAAAAGGAGUAAUCCGGUGAGGGGUGGGCUCGCGUCUGAUUAGCUAGUUGGUGGGGUAACGGCCCACCAAGGCAACGAUCAGUAGCCGACCUGAGAGGGUGAUCGGCCACACUGGAACUGAGACACGGUCCAGACUCCUACGGGAGGCAGCAGUGGGGAAUAUUGGGCAAUGGGGGAAACCCUGACCCAGCAACGCCGCGUGAAGGAAGAAGGUUUUCGGAUCGUAAACUUCUAUCCCGGGUGAAGAUAAUGACGGUAGCCCGGAAGGAAGCCCCGGCUAACUACGUGCCAGCCGCCGCAGUAAAAC
RNAcentral lists this ribosomal RNA (493 nucleotides) under uncultured bacterium. RNAcentral's name for it is "bacterial SSU rRNA". It matches the Rfam family "Bacterial small subunit ribosomal RNA", at positions 28 to 526 of the family's 1533-position model. The record is from RNAcentral.